Molecule: ribosomal RNA, 609 nt
Filed under: Triticum aestivum (bread wheat)
Lineage: Eukaryota; Viridiplantae; Streptophyta; Magnoliopsida; Poales; Poaceae
Description: partial small subunit ribosomal RNA
Source: RNAcentral
AUCUCAACACAGUCUACCUGUGGGAUAUGCGGAUCCGAGGAUUCUUGGCGUCACUCUUUAAUCGAGUGCAAUAUGGCGCGGUGCGUGUGGGCUCUUGAAGAUGAAGCUUUGGUCGAGGUGUUACUGUCCAAUAGAGAACCAGAUGCCAAACGUUUUAUUUUCUCACUGAUUGAUGCUCUACCUCACUCAGAUUUUGUGGCAAUAUUGGUAACAUUAUGGGCGGUAUGGCACACACCGAAGAAGCAGCAUGCAACACCCCAUGUCGUCCCUAAACAACACAACAUAUGGAAGCCACCAGCUGGUGGAGUGGCAAAAAUUCAGGUUGAUGGGGCACUCUCAAGGAACUCAGCGGAAGGAUCCUAUAGCGCGGUUUGCCGUGAUUCAACUGGUAAGUUCAUGGGAGCUUCGGCUAUCAAAUGUGCAGGAAUCAUUGAUCUAGCUACACUUGAGGCGAUGGCGUGUCGUGAAACCCUGACACUUGCAUUGGACCUUUCACUCACAGAUGUGCUUGUCGUGUCAGACUGCCAGGGAGUAGUCAAUGAUAUACAUCACGGUACUGGUCGAUUGCAUGUAGGCAUCGUCAAGGAGAUUGCCAACACAUCUAGGUAG